This 465-nucleotide ribosomal RNA is filed under the name uncultured bacterium. RNAcentral's name for it is "partial 16S ribosomal RNA". It matches the Rfam family "Bacterial small subunit ribosomal RNA", at positions 28 to 507 of the family's 1533-position model. The record is from RNAcentral.
GACGAACGCUGGCGGCGUGCUUAACACAUGCAAGUCGAACGGAAAGGCCCUGCUUGCAGGGUACUCGAGUGGCGAACGGUUGAGUAACACGUUGGUGAUCUGCCCUGCACUUCGGGAUAAGCCUGGGUAACUGGGUCUAAUACCGGACCGGAGCCUUAUUUAGUGUGAUGGUUGGAAAGUUUUUUCGGUUUGGGAUUAGCUCGCGGCCUAUCAGCUUGUUGGUGGGGUAAUGGCCUACCAAGGCGGCGACGGGUAGCCGGCCUGGGAGGGUGGACGGCCACAUUGGGACUGGGAUACAGCCCAGACUCCUACGGGAGGCAGAGGUGGCGAUGAUGGAAAAAUGGGCGCAAGCGUGAUGCAGAGACGCCGCGUGGGGGAUGACGACCUUCGGCUUGUGGUCGUCUUGCGCUAGUGACGAAGCUUUUUGUGACGGUACCUAGAGAAGAAGCACCGGCUAACUACGUG